Molecule: ribosomal RNA, 750 nt
Filed under: Triticum aestivum (bread wheat)
Lineage: Eukaryota; Viridiplantae; Streptophyta; Magnoliopsida; Poales; Poaceae
Description: partial small subunit ribosomal RNA
Source: RNAcentral
AUGGGGUCCAGCCCGGCUAAUCCUGUGCCCAACCCUGAUGAGAGUUCAUUAUCUCAUAUCAAGAGCCAAGAUAUGUUAGCUGAAAAGGUUGUGGACCAAUGGGAUGACAGUGACACUAAAAACUCCUCUGGAAGUGCAUCAUAUCAAGUUGUUCCUUACAAGAAUGCCCAGGGAGAAAACACCUUACCUGUGCUGUCUAAAAAAAGGAAAUUCAUUAUUAGUACAUAUUCUGUGCAAUGUAGUACUUGCCAGAAAUGGAGAGUUGUACCAUCCAAACUGAAAUAUGAGCAAAUCCGAGAGAAUAUUAUACAAGUUCCUUUUUCUUGCAAAUAUGUCCAUGGGUGGAAGCCACAAGUUACAUGCCAUGAUCCAACUGAUAUAUCUGAGGAUAAUGGCAUGGCAUGGGCAAUUGAUAUCCCAUGCAUCCCUCAGACCCCUCUUAGGUGGGAAAGGAAUAUUACUCUAAGGAAUGAACAGAGCACGAGAUUCGCUGAUGUGUACUAUAUCUCUCCCGUAGGCAGAAAGGUAAGAUCCAUGAAAGACGUCGAAAGGGUACCUAAACCUGCAAAUUGCCCUCGUCAGUCAGAGUUUAUUGAACCAACUGAAGUGCCACCUCCGGUUCACGAGGAUCCCGUGCACAACUACAUGCCAGUCCCUCAUGGAGAAGCCAAUCAUUUAACUCAUAUACCAGUUAUACUAGUUCUACAAGUACCAAUGAUGCUCUCCAAAAAGAGAAAACUAAACCAGUGA